GAUGAACGCUGGCGGCGUGCUUAACACAUGCAAGUCGAACGGUGAAGCAGGAGCUUGCUCUCGUGGAUCAGUGGCGAACGGGUGAGUAACACGUGAGCAACCUGCCCCUGACUCUGGGAUAAGCGCUGGAAACGGCGUCUAAUACUGGAUAUGUGAUGUGACCGCAUGGUCUGCAUCUGGAAAGAAUUUCGGUUGGGGAUGGGCUCGCGGCCUAUCAGCUUGUUGGGGAGGUAAGGGCGCACCAAGGCGUCGACGGGUAGCCGGCCUGAGAGGGUGACCGGCCACACUGGGACUGAGACACGGCCCAGACUCCUACGGGAGGCAGCAGUGGGGAAUAUUGCACAAUGGGCGGAAGCCUGAUGCAGCAACGCCGCGUGAGGGAUGACGGCCUUCGGGUUGUAAACCUCUUUUAGCAGGGAGGAAGCGAAAGUGACGGUACCUGCAGAAAAAGCACCGGCUAACUACGUGCCAGCCGCCGCCGUAA
Molecule: ribosomal RNA, 484 nt
Filed under: uncultured bacterium
Lineage: Bacteria
Description: partial 16S ribosomal RNA
Rfam family: Bacterial small subunit ribosomal RNA
Source: RNAcentral